UACGUAGGUGACAAGCGUUGUCCGGAUUUACUGGGCGUAAAGAGCGCGCAGGCGGUCGAUCAAGUCGAGUGUGAAAGCCCCCGGCUCAACUGGGGAGGGUCACGCGAUACUGAUCGACUCGAAGGCAGGAGAGGGUAGUGGAAUUCCCGGUGUAGUGGUGAAAUGCGUAGAUAUCGGGAGGAACACCAGUGACGAAGGCGACUACCUGGCCUGUUCUUGACGCUGAGGCGCGAAAGCUAGGGGAGCAAACGGG
This 253-nucleotide ribosomal RNA is filed under the name uncultured bacterium. Its description in RNAcentral is "partial 16S ribosomal RNA". It matches the Rfam family "Bacterial small subunit ribosomal RNA", at positions 524 to 776 of the family's 1533-position model. The record is from RNAcentral.